AUAAAGCAAUUAUAAUAUGUUUGAUCAGUAUCAGUCCACUGAUAUUUAUGAUACCAGUAUCAUCUGACGUGGCUUCUUCUGAUUGGUCACAUUUGACAAAAACAAAA
Molecule: small RNA, 107 nt
Filed under: Arabidopsis thaliana (thale cress)
Lineage: Eukaryota; Viridiplantae; Streptophyta; Magnoliopsida; Brassicales; Brassicaceae
Description: ATSL080430
Source: RNAcentral